UUGUUCCCUUAACAUUUUUUUAUUUCUUUUUUAAAUUUAAAAAACAUAUUCUGUUUCUUUUUUCCUUUAAUAUUUUUGAGAAAGACAUAGGAUAGCGGGCCCCAUCUUAAUUUGAACGUCCAAAAUCACGGCAUUGAAUAAUCUGCACACUGAAUUUAAUUCAGCCAGACAACCAGGAGAGGGCACGCGACCACCGCUAAACAGUGAGCGAGCGCCGAGGGCCCCGCGCUGCCCCAGAUGACCAGCAGAGGGCGUACGAGCUGCCUUGUCGGACCCGUGAGAAGCCCCUACCGCCUCCGUGCUCCUCCUAUGGCCGCCAGCGCUGCGCCUGCAACGAGGACGAGAACCUCAUUUUCCUCACCACAGAUCUAAGGGGACACCGCCUCACUCUGGCACAACUUGAGGCUGCGUCAAUGACCUUGUACUGUUGUUACACAGUUCAAUAUUGAAGGGAGUGAUUCUCCAGAGCUUGCCCAGAAGCCAGGAUAUCUGGAAAGAAUCUCAGCCUCUCUCAGCCUGCAGCUUGGGAGAGUGAUUCAUGGAACCUGACUGCACACUGCUGCUAAACCAUAGACUGGCCUUGGCUUACACAUCUGACUGCAACUGUCCCCUCUGAGUAAAAGCCUCUCUUUCUUCAACCUUGCAAGCUUCCUGGGGGUGCUUCUAACAAGCGGACUUCACAUAUAAAAGGGGACUCUGAACGACCUACUUCCUGGCUUCUCUUCUGGAAGUCAGGGAAGAGUACAGGAAGGAGUGGCCACAGUGCCCAACUGACAACUGACAAUUUCACCAACUGAGUUUCCAGAGGACUACAAUUUAAUACGUUCAAAGAACAGUCCGAGAAGCCACUCUGGACCCUCCGCAUUAAGACAGAGGAAGGAGGAGCAAACAGGUGGUGAUUAUGACUAACAACAUUUACUGAAUCCUUCCCAUGCUGAAAACCCUAUUGUAAGCUAUUUAUGCUCGCUAAGUCAUUUAUUCUUCAGGGCCAUUUAACCAAGUAAGCAUUAUGAUUAUCCCCACUUUUACAGGUGAGAAAAUUGAGGCACCAAGAUUAGAUCGCACAGCGGUAUAAUAGGAUGGAAAACUCCUAUCAUAUAACGAGCGUUAAGUGAAAAAAAUUAGUAUCCAAAACUGUAACUCUGAUGCUGCAAAUCCUUUUUAUAAUUUAAGUAGUUUACAAAUACCCUAAUUAUUAGCCCUAUUUCUGAGCACUUCAUAUGUAGAGUGCACUUUACAGAACACUGUCGUGUAAUCCUCACUCCGUAAACGAAGUAAGUGAUAGUUUCCAGUUUCCAAAGAGGAAAGCGGAGCUAGGAGAGGCCAAGUGCCUGCGCGGCGCCACAGGGUUCGUCCCCGCGGAGCGGACCUCAGGGCAUCCGGGGCAGGUCCCGGCGGAGCUCGCGGCCCCGCGGUGGCGACGCCCGGGCCCAGCCGCUCGCGCUCCCGGAGCCGCCGGACUGCGCGGCACGCGGACGCCGAGCCUGCCCGCCUGGGUCUACAUAAAAACCGCAGCCACCGGCAGUCUUAACAGAAAUGGAGACUUAAUUUUUGAGACUGUCUUUUGUGUAUUUGAGAAAGCCCCUCGUCCGGAUCCGGGCCGCGGGGCCUCUGACCGCGUCCUCGCGCCGGGCCCGGGCUGGGCGGGGCGGGCGGCGCCUAGGCUGCGUCCCGGCUCUGGCUGCGCGGGCCCGGGCCUCCCGCGGGCCUGGGGCUUCGAGCUCAGGCCGAGCGCUCUAUGGAAGCCGCGCGCGACCCCCGCUCCCCCGCGUGCGACCCC
Sapajus apella (tufted capuchin) is the source of this 1780-nucleotide long non-coding RNA. RefSeq lists it as uncharacterized. The record is from RefSeq and is a predicted model, not a curated record. NCBI's taxonomy places the organism in Eukaryota, Metazoa, Chordata, Mammalia, Primates, Cebidae. The transcript has 4 exons.